CCUACGGGUGGCAGCAGUGGGGAAUAUUGGACAAUGGGCGAAAGCCUGAUCCAGCCAUGCCGCGUGUGUGAAGAAGGCCUUCGGGUUGUAAAGCACUUUCAGUGGGGAAGAAAGCCUUGGGGCUAAUACCCUCCAGGAAGGACAUCACCCACAGAAGAAGCACCGGCUAACUCCGUGCCAGCAGCCGCGGUAAUACGGAGGGUGCGAGCGUUAAUCGGAAUUACUGGGCGUAAAGCGCGCGUAGGCGGUCUGAUAAGCCGGUUGUGAAAGCCCCGGGCUCAACCUGGGAACGGCAUCCGGAACUGUCAGGCUAGAGUGCAGGAGAGGAAGGUAGAAUUCCCGGUGUAGCGGUGAAAUGCGUAGAGAUGGGGAGGAAUACCGAUGGCGAAGGCGGCCUUCUGGACUGACACUGACGCUGAGGUGCGAAAGCGUGGGUAGCAAACAGGAUUAGAUACCCGUGUAGUC
Molecule: ribosomal RNA, 465 nt
Filed under: Vreelandella stevensii
Lineage: Bacteria; Pseudomonadati; Pseudomonadota; Gammaproteobacteria; Oceanospirillales; Halomonadaceae
Description: partial 16S ribosomal RNA
Rfam family: Bacterial small subunit ribosomal RNA
Source: RNAcentral